Tatumella ptyseos ATCC 33301 is the source of this 97-nucleotide non-coding RNA. It matches the Rfam family "Bacterial small signal recognition particle RNA". From Rfam's summary of the family: The signal recognition particle (SRP) is a universally conserved ribonucleoprotein involved in the co-translational targeting of proteins to membranes. Archaeal SRP consists of a 7S RNA and homologues of the eukaryotic SRP19 and SRP54 proteins. The record is from Rfam. Lineage: Bacteria; Pseudomonadati; Pseudomonadota; Gammaproteobacteria; Enterobacterales; Erwiniaceae.
UGUUGGUUCUCCCGCAAUGCUAAUCUGUGAACCCGGUCAGAUCCGGAAGGAAGCAGCCGUAACAGAUGACGCAUGUGCCGGGAUGUCGCUGGCAGGG